Canis lupus familiaris (dog) is the source of this 876-nucleotide long non-coding RNA. RefSeq lists it as uncharacterized. The transcript is spliced from 3 exons. The record is from RefSeq and is a predicted model, not a curated record. Lineage: Eukaryota; Metazoa; Chordata; Mammalia; Carnivora; Canidae.
GGGCCCUGCGCCCCGCCCCCUCCUCACGCCCGCAGAGCUGGGGCCCCCGGGCUCCGUGGGGGAGGCGGGUCGUGGUGGCUUUCGGGCGCGCGUUCCGGGCCCCAGUGAACCCCAGCACCCACGACGGAAGCAAAAGUGAAGCUCCCAGCAGACCCACGUGCGCUGGCAAAAGUGGAGAAAUACACCGAACAUAGGCACCCAGAAUUAGAGAAUUUGGCCCAGGACCUUGCCAGGACUGUUUAUUUACAGGGAGGGCUAUGGACCUAGGAUGCCCUCAGGGCUGCAUGCAAUGGCAAAGUUUCUUUUCCUGCAUUCUCAGAGAAGAAGAAAUCUGGAGGCUUGGUUCCUGAUGGAUUUUAUUUCCUGCUUUAUAAAUCUCUAUCAGUGAUGUCAUCCAAUAAUUGCUCAAGUUGAAAUAUAGUGGAAUAGAAUCCUCUAUAUGUUGGGUAAAAUGCCCACAUCAAAUUUCAGAUGUGAAAAACUCUGAUAUCAAUUAAAAUAUGGUACGGAUUUAAAGUAACAGCUUAAGACUGAAAAUCAUACGUGAAUUGGCCUGUCCCUUUAAAAAGAAAAGCAAUCGCAUUUUGGUUGCUGAGCUCUCAUUGGAUUUAUUUUAUCUUAGCAGCUGUUCCUGAAGUCGAUGUUAUUCAAAUGAGGGGUUUCAAGCUCUUUGUUGUGUUUUUCAACUUAUGGUAUAUGCUAUCAAACAUAAGACCCAAAUUUAGAAUGGGGUGGGGACAAGGGACAAUUAGAAAUACCAAAGAAAUAAAAUAAUAUUGAAAAAGCCCUCUAAAUUUUUACUUAGCAAAGAUAAAACCGAUGAACAUGAUCUGCCUGAGGCCCCAGUUAACAGUAGCAGGGCAAAACCCCCAAACC